GGGCGCAUAGCUCAAUUGGCAGAGCAGCGGACUUUUAAUCCGCGGGUUCAGGGUUCGAGUCCCUGUGCGCCCACCA
Molecule: transfer RNA, 76 nt
Filed under: Pseudomonadota bacterium
Lineage: Bacteria; Pseudomonadati; Pseudomonadota
Also listed under: 1 other name
Description: tRNA-Lys
Rfam family: tRNA
About the family: Transfer RNA (tRNA) molecules are approximately 80 nucleotides in length. Their secondary structure includes four short double-helical elements and three loops (D, anti-codon, and T loops).
Source: RNAcentral